Molecule: ribosomal RNA, 706 nt
Filed under: uncultured archaeon
Lineage: Archaea
Description: bacterial SSU rRNA
Rfam family: Archaeal small subunit ribosomal RNA
Source: RNAcentral
ACGGCUCAGUAACACGUCGAUAAUCUGCCCUAAGGUCGAGGAUACCCACGGAAAACUGUGGUUAAUACUUGAUAUUGAAUGGAUUCUGGAAUGAGCCAUUCAUUAAACGUAAGGCCUUAGGAUGAGUCGGCGGCGGAUUAGGCAGUUGGCGGUGUAACGGACCACCAAACCUAAGAUCCGUAGGGGCCCUGAGAGGGGUAGCCCCGAGAGGGACACUGAAAUACUGGUCCCAGCUCCACGGAGUGCAGCAGGCGCGAAACCUCCACAAUGCGCGAAAGCGUGAUGGGGGGAUUCUGAGUGCUUACAUUUUAUGUAAGCUUUUGCCAAGAGUUCACAUCUUGGAGAAUAAGUGGUGGGAAAGACCGGUGCCAGCAGCCGCGGUAACCCCGGCGCCACAAGUGGCAAUCUUAUAUUGGGCCUAAAGCAUUCGUAGCCGGUUUGAAUAAUCUUUUGUGAAAUUGUUGAACUCAAUACAACAGCGUGCAGAAGACACUUUCAGACUAGAGACUGGGAGGAGUUGGGGGUAUGCCUAGGGGAACGGUUAAAUGUGAUAAUCCUAGGUAGACCACCUGUGGCGAAGGCGCCCAACUAGAACAGUUCUGACGGUGAGGGAUGAAAGCUAGGGGAGCGAUCCGGAUUAGAUACCCGAGUAGUCCUAGCUGUAAACACUGCGAGCUAGGUGUUGCAUAUUCUACGAGAAUAUGCA